UACAGAGGUCUCAACCGUUGUUCGGAUUCAUUGGGCGUAAAGGGUGCGUAGGCGGUCUGGCAAGUCGGAUGUGAAAUCUCAGGGCUCAACCCUGAAACUGCAUUCGAUACUGCUAGGCUUGAGUACUGGAGGGGAGACUGGAAUUCAUGGUGUAGCAGUGAAAUGCGUAGAGAUCAUGAGGAAGACCAGUGGCGAAGGCGGGUCUCUGGACAGUUCCUGACACUGAGACACGAAGGCCAGGGGAGCAAACAGG
RNAcentral lists this ribosomal RNA (253 nucleotides) under uncultured bacterium. RNAcentral describes it as "partial 16S ribosomal RNA". It matches the Rfam family "Bacterial small subunit ribosomal RNA", at positions 524 to 776 of the family's 1533-position model. The record is from RNAcentral.